Molecule: ribosomal RNA, 497 nt
Filed under: uncultured bacterium
Lineage: Bacteria
Description: partial 16S ribosomal RNA
Rfam family: Bacterial small subunit ribosomal RNA
Source: RNAcentral
GAUGAACGCUGGCGGCGUGCCUAAUACAUGCAAGUCGAGCGAACGGACGAUAAGCUUGCUUCUCUGAUGUUAGCCGCGGACGUGUGAAUAACACGUGGAUAACCUACCUAUAAGACUGGGAUAACUUCGGGAAACCGGAGCUAAUACCGGAUAAUAUUUUGAUCCGCAUGGUUCAAUAGUGAAAGACGGUCUUGCUGUCACUUAUAGCUGGAUCCGCGCUGCAUUAGCUAGUUGGUAAGGUAACGGCUUACCAAGGCAACGAUGCAUAGCCGACCUGAGAGGGUGAUGGGCCACACGGGAACGGAGACACGGUCCAGACUCCUACGGGAGGCAGCAGAAGGGAACCUUCGGCAGUGGGCGAAAGCCUGACGGAGCAAGGCGGCGUGAGUGAUAAGGGUCUCGGGUUCGUAAAACCCUGUUUAUGGGGAAAAACAGAUUUGGAAUGAAAUGUGCACACCGUGACGGUACCUAAUCAGAAAGCAACGGCUAACUACGUG